CCUACGGGUGGCUGCAGUGAGGAAUAUUGGUCAAUGGGCGCGAGCCUGAACCAGCCAAGUAGCGUGAAGGAUGACUGCCCUACGGGUUGUAAACUUCUUUUAUAAGGGAAUAAAGUGAGGCACGUGUGCCUUUUUGUAGGUAAUUUAUAAAUAAGGAUCGGCCAACUCCGGUCCAGAAGCCGCGGUAAUACGGAGGAUCCGAGCGUUAGCCGGAUUUAUUGGGUUUAAAGGGAGCGUAGAUGGGUUGUUAAGUCAGUUGUGAAAGUUUGCGGCUCAACCGUAAAAGUGCAAUUGAUACUGGCAGCCUUGAGUACAGUUGAGGUAGGCGGAAUUCGUGGUGUAGCGGUGAAAUGCUUAGAUAUCACGAAGAACUCCGAUUGCGAAGGCAGCUUACUAAACUGCCACUGACAUUGAUGCUCGAAAGUGUGGGUAUCAAACAGGAUUAGAUACCCGGGUAGUC
This 460-nucleotide ribosomal RNA is filed under the name uncultured bacterium. Its description in RNAcentral is "partial 16S ribosomal RNA". It matches the Rfam family "Bacterial small subunit ribosomal RNA", at positions 338 to 795 of the family's 1533-position model. The record is from RNAcentral.